CCCGGUGGACCCGUGAACUUAAUGAUGCUUUGCCGAAAUUACUCGCCUGACUAAUGAACUUUUCCUCUUCCAUACUGAGAUUUAAUCCCUUAGGAAGGAGAGGGACGAUGGAGCCGCCCGGAUUAUAUCGAUCGAGAAAGAUAUCGAAAGUGCGAAGCUGAAAUUUACCGAACAUGCCAAGUCUGUUACCGAUCGGAACAAGCGUGCCCGUUUUAAGAACAUUGCUGAAGGUUUGGUUCACGAGCGGGACAUGGUGAACCUUCAAAGUCCCGAGUAUGAGUCAGUUGUUGUACCUGUGAAUCCUCAUAUGUGGGAGCAAUGGCAAGCGCACGGGAUCCCUGAGGAACAUCACCCUUGGUCGAAGACUCUUCAAGACCUUAGGGGUGAUGCAGAUGAUAAAUAGAUGGCAAAAAAAUUUUGUAACGUACUUUUUAUUUUGGGCUUUGUUCCCCUGCUUUGUUCUUUACUAUUUCCCGUUAUUUUUGCUUUUGUUUGCUGUAAGACUUGUCCGUUCGUUCUUGCUUGUGUUUCCUUUGCCCUGCGGCUUGCCAUCUGAUGCAUUGUUGCUUGUUUCCACGUCCUUUUUUCCCUACGGCCUUUUGUGUCGCGUAGUUUCUUUCAUUUCGGACGUCUGAUGGGUGCAUUGCCUUUGAUCGAUACGAUUGCUCUACGACAUUUGUUUGCGGGUGGCCUUACUUUUGAUUUAUCGACCUUAUUGCCCUAUGGCAUUUUUUGGCAGGUGGCCUCGCUUGAUCUUUUGACCUAAUUGUCCUAUGGCAUAUUUUAUUUUGACGGGUGGCCUCAUUUGGUCUGUCGACCUU
RNAcentral lists this long non-coding RNA (821 nucleotides) under Zostera marina. Its description in RNAcentral is "long non-coding RNA (ZMAR_LNC004647)". Lineage: Eukaryota; Viridiplantae; Streptophyta; Magnoliopsida; Alismatales; Zosteraceae. The record is from RNAcentral.